Molecule: ribosomal RNA, 392 nt
Filed under: uncultured bacterium
Lineage: Bacteria
Description: bacterial SSU rRNA
Rfam family: Bacterial small subunit ribosomal RNA
Source: RNAcentral
AUUGAACGCUGGCGGCAUGCCUUACACAUGCAAGUCGAACGGCAGCACGGGAGCAAUCCUGGUGGCGAGUGGCGAACGGGUGAGUAAUAUAUCGGAACGUGCCCAGUCGUGGGGAUAACGUAGCGAAAGCUACGCUAAUACCGCAUACGAUCUAUGGAUGAAAGCGGGGGAUCGCAAGACCUCGCGCGAUUGGAGCGGCCGAUAUCAGAUUAGGUAGUUGGUGAGGUAAAGGCUCACCAAGCCGACGAUCUGUAGCUGGUCUGAGAGGACGACCAGCCACACUGGGACUGAGACACGGCCCAGACUCCUACGGGAGGCAGCAGUGGGGAAUUUUGGGACAAUGGGCGCAAGCCUGAUCCAGCAAUGCCGCGUGCAGGAUGAAGGCCUCGGUU